AGCAGCCGCGGUAAUUCCAGCUCCAAUAGCGUAUAUUAAAGUUGUUGCAGUUAAAAAGCUCGUAGUUGAACUUCGGGGUUUACUCAUUGGUCAGGCUUAAUUGUCUGUACUGGUGAGAUAAAUCUCUACCUUCUGAGGAACUUUCAUGCCAUUUAUUUGGUGUGAUUGGAAAUCAGGACUGUUACUUUGAAAAAAUUAGAGUGUUUAAAGCAGGCUAACGUCUGAAUACAUUAGCAUGGAAUAAUGAAAUAGGACGGAUUGAUUCUAUUUCGUUGGUUUCUAGGGUCACCGUAAUGAUUAAUAGGGAUAGUUGGGGGCAUUAGUAUUCAAUUGUCAGAGGUGAAAUUCUUGGAUUUAUUGAAGACUAACUACUGCGAAAGCAUUUGCCAAGGAUGUUUUCAUUAAUCAAGAACGAAAGUUAGGGGAUCGAAGACGAUCAGAUACCGUCGUAGUCUUAACCAUAAACUAUGCCGACUAGGGAUCGGACGAAGUUAAUUAAUAAUGACGCGUUCGGCACCUU
This 520-nucleotide unclassified non-coding RNA is filed under the name uncultured Diversispora. RNAcentral's name for it is "SSU rRNA". It matches the Rfam family "Eukaryotic small subunit ribosomal RNA", at positions 569 to 1089 of the family's 1831-position model. Lineage: Eukaryota; Fungi; Glomeromycota; Glomeromycetes; Diversisporales; Diversisporaceae. The record is from RNAcentral.